GUCGUAACAAGGUUUCCGUAGGUGAACCUGCGGAAGGAUCAUUCGCACAUGUUCCAGCAUACUAUUGUUGAAUUGUUCUGUGAGAUUUGUGUGGGGGUGUCGAUUGCGUUUCCCCCCAUGUGAAUUCUCAUGGGUGGUAAGGUGCUCGGGGUGGUUCCGCACAUACCUGUUCAUUCUUACUGCCAAUGGUAACGCUGAGCGACUUGAUGUUAGCUGUUGUCGAGUGAAACUGUAGCGUUACGCUUACAACUUACAGCGAUGGAUGUCUCGGUUCGAACAACGAUGAAGGGCGCAGCGAAGUGCGAUAAGCAUUGUGAAUUGCAGAAUUCCGUGAACCGACAGGGACUUGAACGCGCAUUGUGCUUUUGGGAUAUCCCUAAAAGCAUGCCUGCUUCAGUGUCUAUGUUGUGUUGUUCCAGCAAUGUCUGCACUGCGUUUGUGCAUUGCUGUGAACAUUUAUGCCUCAAGAUGUUUGGCCCUAUUCGGGCGUCGGUGAGGCAUUGGAUUUACAAGGCUUUGGUGCGACAAUCGGCUUAGUAAGGCAUUUGGGUUGCUUUUCGCUGUAGCUGUCACAUCCUGAAGCUUGUUGUCACAAUUUGAACUCUUAUUGUUGAGACAUGAAGUUAGGUUGGCAAACCCGCUGAAUUUAAGCAUAUAAGUAAGCGGAGGAUAAGAAACUAAAUGGGAUUCCCUUAGUAAUGGCGAAUGAAUCGGGAAAAGCUCAACAUUGAAAUUGUGGCCUCUGGCUUUGAAUUGUAAUCUCGCGAUGUGCUGCCAUCGGGGGCGCAGGUGCAAGCCGCUUGGAAAAGCGAGCCAUUGAGGGUGAGAGUCCUGUUUGUCAUCUGCAGAUCUCCGUGCACGGCAUGCUUUCUAAGAGUCACGUUCCUCGGGAUUGGAGCGCAAAUUGGGUGGUAAAUUUCAUCUUAAGCUAAAUAUGGGUUCGAAACCGAUAGCAAACAAGUACCGUGAGGGAAAGAUGAAAAGGACUUUGAAAAGAGAGUUAAAAGUGCCUGAACUCGCUGAAAGGAAAGCGGAUGGAACCAGGUGUGCUCUGUGAGAUUGUCAUGUGCUAUGGAAAUAUCUCGCUACAUAAAUGCAAGUGGUGCUGCGGGUUUUGAUCCUUAUGCAUGUGAUGCUUCUUGCUUUGUGUGUCACCAUUAGUUUGGAGGUGAGGACAACUCUUGGGACAUGGUAACUCGGCUCCGGCUGAUCGAAUAUGCCUUGGAGGACUCACUUGUAAACCGAAUGUGUAAUGUGAGGGCGUGCUGGUUCGCAUUGGAUGCACUUGUGCAUGCAAAAGCGGGUCACUCCCCUGACAUGUUAUCUGGUGACUAAAUGGUUCUAUUCGACCCGUCUUGAAACACGGACCAAGGAGUCUAACACAUGUGCAAGUUCAUGGGCUUUGAAACUUGUGUGCAUAAUGAAAGUGACAACUGAGAUGUUUGCAUCAGCAGCCGACCGAUCGAUUGGGAGAGGUUUGAGCAUGAGCAUAUUUGUUAGGACCCGAAAGAUGGUGAACUAUGCGUGA
RNAcentral lists this ribosomal RNA (1528 nucleotides) under Gymnodinium impudicum. RNAcentral's name for it is "eukaryotic LSU rRNA". The stretch from base 614 to 1528 matches the Rfam family "Eukaryotic large subunit ribosomal RNA", at positions 1 to 840 of the family's 3401-position model. The record is from RNAcentral. Lineage: Eukaryota; Dinophyceae; Gymnodiniales; Gymnodiniaceae.